Molecule: non-coding RNA, 911 nt
Organism: Oryza sativa Japonica Group (Japanese rice)
Lineage: Eukaryota; Viridiplantae; Streptophyta; Magnoliopsida; Poales; Poaceae
Source: RefSeq, a predicted model, not a curated record
AUUAAUCUGCAUGCGAGUUAAAGUUAAACCGCGAUUGGUGCAUAUUAUAGUACGUGCUGAUUACGUCAGCACGCAGUGUUUGGUGAGUGUGCACCUUCGUUGAUACCAGCGUACGGAACUUCAAAAUAUUUCAAAUGCAAGUUGGAUAAAGAAAAGCGCAGAGGAAUGCAGGUACUUGUCUCACUGGGCCGUUAGCUGAAGAGGGCCAGAAUAGGCUUUACAGCCCAAACUAUGGGCCUAAAUUCUGACCCAUCACAUAGUACGGGCCAGAAUUUUGUGAUGCGUCCGUGCAGCCCUUGUUCGGUUGUUCCCUUCUCCCCGGCGCCGCCGCGGCGUCGCCGUCGGCGGCGGUGCAACCGUGCAGGAUUGCGGCCGCUGCCGUCUCGCUUCGUGAGCCGCAGCAGUAAACGCCAGCUGCUCGGCCGUAGGCAUUGAGGGAGUCGCCGAACAACGCUAGUGUUCUCCUCCGCUGCGUUGGUGGCGGUGGUGACUGGUUAGGGCGGCGGAUUGGGGAUGGAUUACAAACACAAGCAACGGGGAGCCGGGGAGAUGGGCAUCCUGUCCUGUACUUUCUGCGUUGGGCGAGGCAUAGAUCGAGCAGAUGAACUCAUCAAAAGUUCGAAGGCUGAGUAGAGGUGCCCGCUGCUUCUUCGUUUCUUCAGAGGAACCGUGGAGGAAUCCAUUUUCUUGCUGCCUGAAACAACAGAUUUUAUCAGCAAAAGUAAUGUCAAGAGUAGAAUAUUUGAUGUUGUCUCAAAACAAAUGAAGCAUCACGUUUGAAGUUCAAUAUUCUUUAGAUGAUGCCUGAUUUGUUGAUUGUGUUGGCUGGAGAAUAAUCACAGUUACGGUUAGCUAGAAUACCAAGUAUUUUUUUUCCUUCAAAUCUAUAUGAUAAAGAUAGUUAAUUAGAA